This 1320-nucleotide long non-coding RNA is filed under the name Mus spicilegus (steppe mouse). Its description in RNAcentral is "lncRNA (ENSMSIG00000029378.1)". Lineage: Eukaryota; Metazoa; Chordata; Mammalia; Rodentia; Muridae. The record is from RNAcentral.
UGGUUCAUCUAGUCCUGAGUAGAUUGUCAAGUCAAUUCCACCUAAGUGUCACAUACUUAGACUAUCCCAAUAUUCUGCACUUUAUAAAAACUUAAAUCAUAUUCACUCAUUUUAAAUAAAAGAGAGAAAGCACUUACAGUCUGUGAUCAUCCUGCUGUUGGCUAAGAGUUCUGGUGGUGAUUGGGUAAAGCUCAGCGUGUAGUUUUAUUUAUGCCAGCACUUAGAAAGUGAUUUAACCAGUGAUGUGGGAGGUAGGCAAGGGGGUGGCAUUACAUUUCAACAAACACUUAGAAAUCUCUGGAGCUGGAGGCUGGACAAAUAGAAUUUACCAAAAAUGGAAUAGUUGUGUGCGUUUUUGAUGGAGAGUCCAGCAAUGAUACAUUAUAUUCUUCUGCAUUUUUGUUUAUUUAGCUUGACAGAGGAUAUGAAAAAGGUGCUUUUGAUUAAGCACCUUAAUAUCACACAUUUAUAUAGUGCCUUUCACCCUGGAGGAAUGAUGAAUUCUGUUUACAUAGCUUCAUAAACUUUCCACAGAAUUGGCCUUCGCUUCAUCAGGAAUGGUCAAAAGCCAUCUAUGGCUGACACAUUCACCACCCUGAAGGAGAGAGGGACUCAGGCUAUGCUUAAACAAGGGAAACUGGGAGAGAAAUGGCUUCAAUAUUUUAUCACAUGUAUUAAUUUCAUAUUCCAUCUGACUGGCAAUAUCAUUAUGCCCCAGGCUUUUACAUGUCAGAAUAAGGCUGGCACCCAGAGUGCGGCCUCUCAGGAUGACUGGAACCACCAGGGAAAGGAAGGGACAUUUGGAGUCCUGCAGAGAUUUCUACCUUCAGCCUGGAGAGAGAAAGCACUUUGAAUGGCCCUGUUGUCAUCUUUCAAGAUAACAAUAACUGAGUAAAUUGCAAUUCCAAAGCAAAUUUUGAGUUAAAAGCAGGACAAAAUGAACAUGAAAUCUAGAGAAAGGAGCUCCCUUGGGAAGUCAGAACCCCAGGAUCAGUCUGUCUAGGGUACUCACUGUCUGCAUGCAUUCAGGCCAGCCAAAUCUUCAAUUAUACCACUAAAGCUGCAAAAGGCUGAGGAUCCAAAACAUGUCAGGAAACACCCUUCUUCUUACCCCCCAGCACUCAGCUCCUAAUAAGCAGUGAGUGAGAAUAUGAACUCUGGGGAAGCUGGAAGCUGGUUUGCUUGAUGUGGCUUGACAAAGUGAAGAUUCAAUGCCAAAUGAAAAGUCUCACAGCCUAGCCAGGAACAGAUGUUGACAAACAUCAUUGACUGAGUAGACCAUUCCUUGAGCAUAAAAUAAAAUCUAAGUUAUGAGGAUUA